GAUGGCGGUUGGCGCAGCCCGCCACUGCGCACGCGCGCCCCGCCCCCACAGGGCCCCCGCCGGUCCUGGGGAAAGGGGUGGGGGAGGGCGGACCUGGUCCCCGGCGAGGACCUUCCGGGCUGCCCUUUCGCCCUCGGACCGCUCUUGGGCAGCUCUUCCUUUGCAGGCCCUGUGCCCUCUUUCCCUUUCCAGCCUGGGUCGUCUUUUUCUUCCCCUUUCCUGUUCUUUGUCGUUUCCUCCUUAUUGUCGCAGAGUCAUCUGUUAAUGAAAAAUUUGCACGUCAUUCCCUUGGAGGUAUCAAAUUCUGUUUAUCGUAACAUCCCUUGAGUGCGUGUAUGUCACCAGAUCUUAGUGUCUAGAAUGUUCAAAGGGGUCUCAGACCUUGCAGCUGCCUGGGCACUUUUUUUUUUUUUUUUCUAGAACAAUCCAGUGGUGGUGAGCUAACAUGGAGAGCGCCAGGGCUUGCGAUGGUUUAGAGCGUGGAGGUCAGGACAGGGUGGGGACAGCCACCCUUUAUUCCAGAACCUCUGAGAUGGUGUGUGUUUAGACAGUGACACCGGCAGGGGAAGAUGGAGUUGAGUAUCAUGGGGUUGGUUAGGAUGGCAACUAAAUAACGACAUAGGAGUUGUAAAAAGUCCCCGGUCUGUAUUUUUAAAACUGCUGGCAAUGGUUGUGGAAGGAUCUCGAAGCAGGCUGGGGGGCUCUGGCAAUUGAGAGUACUGUCUCCUGUUAACCUUCCACCUUCACCCGUCCCCCGCCACGAUAAAUAAAGCAGGGCCAGUUCAAGCAGCUAUUUUAAAUGGUCCCUGGCAGAGCUGUUCUUGUUUAAUCAGUCUUUCUCCCUGAAGAGUGGAAUAUUACUGAGAUGCAGAUGGUUCCCUUCAGACUCAGUCUUGAUGUUUGCUCUGGGACUGGAAAAUUUUUAGUAGAAUUUUACAGCUGGAAGGAGGAACACUGAGUUGGGUCACCUCAUUUUACAGAUGGGGAUUUGGGGGCCUGGGGAGUUUGUGAUUUGCCUAAAACCAGACACAGCUAAUUAGUACCUGAACCUAUUCUUGAAUCGAGGAUUUCAACUUCACUGCGCCUCUUUUUCUCCCCCACUACCUCCCACCCCACCCUCACCCAGUCCUUCUGUCAGCCCCCACAACUGAUGUUUUUGCUAGGGCUGGGGGAGGACCUAGCCCCUGUCUGUCAUCUGAGAUCUGUCUCCCACUGCAGAGCUGCUGAAAUGAAUUUUAAGAGUCCUAAAGUGCUUUAAAUAAUUGUCAGUGCAGCUAAACCAGUCGUCUCCAUCCGCCUUACACAUGGAUGAUACUGUUAGAACGGCUGUAUGUCACUUAGCUAAUUCUCCCUGAAUCUGGGGAAAGAGAUUUGAACGAAGCUCAGCACUCAGAAGUCUCUUGUGCAGAGAGAUGGCUUGCCAAAGCAAGAGACAAAUAUUCUUGUUUUCCCAGUUGGUAAGUGAGAAACAUUUUAGAGGUUAUGGACACUAGGCCCAAAGAUUUACUGCCUUCAUCUCUCCUAGCUCUUGCUUCUCAGAACUGUCUAGCUGUCUCCAAAAUGCUCUAAUUCCUUCCUCUACUUCCUGAUAUACUAAGCCUCUUUUUUUCCUGAAAGAUGUGUUUAAACAAGAUGGCCUAAAAUCACCAUGUUCUUUGGUGAGAAGGUAAAUAAUACACUUGCUUAAGUGUUCUUCUGUCAACUCUCUUGAGCUAAGGAUCCCUUUAACAUAAAACUAAGUUUUCUUGGAGUUCCCGUCGUGGCUCGGUAGUUAACGAGUCCGACUAGGAACCAUGAAGUUGAGGGUUCGAUCCCUGGCCUUGCUCAGUGGGUUAAGGAUCCGGCGUUGCCGUGAGCUGUUGUGUGGGUCGCAGAUGCGGCUCGGGGUUGCUGUGGCUGUGGCAUAGGCUGGCGGCUACAGCUCCAAUUCGACCCCUAGCCUGGGAACCUCCAUAUGCCAUGGGAGCAGCCCUAGAAAAGACAAAAACAAAAAAACUAAGUUUUCUUUAAGGCAGCUUUCCUCUGGCCUCCAUCCAUGUGCCUUUUAACUUCAUCAGGUCCUAAGGCAGCGGCUCUCAAUCCCCUGUUUAUUCCUCUCUUCCUUACUCUGAAACCUAGUCUUCAUUUGGGCCCAAGGGCCUAGGUAUAAGAGGGCUAGUCCGUUUUGGAGGGUCAUCUUGUGCUCCGCACCCACCCCACCCUCAGAAGAGCCCUCACUAAAAAUAGGAGGCCCUUGGUUCUGGUUUCUGGCAAUUACUCCCCUGACAAACAGCCUGUGACCUUGGGCAGGAGCCCAAAUAACUUCUCAAUGGCAAUUUCCUUAUGCAUGAUACAAGGAGAUGGGAUGAAAGAAGUGUUGAUGCCAAUUCUAUAAAAUGCUGUAGACAAAGAGAUGGGCAGGAAACAGGAUUUUAGGUCUCCUGGCCCCGGGGCACUGAAAAGGACUAAAGCAGCAGAAAUUUAGAAUCAGGCCUCCAGAUUCUAAAUCCCAGUCCUCCGGAGUCACUCAGGCCAGAAACGUCCAGAGAAUGCUGGCAACCGCUCCACCUCCUUCCCUUCUGAGCAAGGCCAGUCAGGCUUAGUCAAGAGUUUCUAAGGCCCUUCCUUUCUGGGUCCAGGGUUCCCAGGCCAGUCUGGGCCCGUCUUCAGCAAAACCUGGUCUCCCCUCAGGCCUCUUUUGUCCUCAUCUUUAUUCUUGGGAUAGUUAUCUAAUCCUGCUUUGCCAGAGACAGUUUUGAAAUGCAGAUAGAUAAAAGGCCAGAGGAGUGCCCCCGAAAGAACUUCUAGUUUUCUAAAGACUCAAGGAAUGCGCAGUUCCCAGCCCCCUCCUGCCGCCCACUUUCCAAAGCUGGAAGCUGAUCUCGGGAACAAAGACAGCACCGGAGUUCAGCUCCCUCCUCCCCACAGCAGCCAACUCCCCGGGCAGGGAAAAAACCCGGCGAUGACGCAGCAGCUCUGAGCUCCAUCCUGCAGAAGAGAGGGCGUUGUUUUCUAGAGGGUUUGGGACAGCUAAAAAUGUCCUUGGGGAAGGGGCGAAAGCUGCCAGUGGAAUCCCGCAGACUCACUCCUACCUCUCAGAGGGCCGAGGGUCCUUUUAGCAAAAACAAGUUACAGAAACUACAAAAGGCUGUGUCAUCGGCCUUCCCCAAAGUGCUGUGGGGCCUGGGCCACCACCAGGCCUUUCCCUCACAGGCCCUGAACGUCCCUAGGCCAAGGAGCAAGGGAGCAGAAGGCUUCUGCGUAGGUGGAAUCCUCUUUCUGGGGGACAACUCGGCGAAAUUAUCUUGAAAAAGAGGUUUCUCACCCCCGGGCCAAGACCUCAGUGCUGCUAGCUCCCUUCUCUAGUUUAUUCCUCACACAAUGUCCUUGGCCCUGGGCCCUGCAGCCUGUUUGUGGAGCUUCCCGGAAGGCCUGGCUGUGGAGGCCCAGCUGGAGCCGAGGGGGACGUGGGAGGACAGCAUGACAGGAGGCCGGAUCGCAGCUCUCCAGACCGGCUGCGUCAGCUCCUGAGCUUUGCAGGCCCCGCACUGGCUUCACCCAGUGUUUCCAGACCUUCCUUCCCUCCCCAGCAGUCCGCCCCCCUCUCUAUUUUCUCUGGCAUCCGUGGAGCCCUGCACCAUAUGCGUUCCCUACACCAUCUCGCUUCAGUUCCCCCCGCUGCCUGUGAGAGAGAUGCUGCCAUUAACCCCUUGGACGGAUGAGGACACUGAGGCGUGGGCUGUCUGAGCAUCACUCAUGCCUGGCACACGCUAGGAGCUCAAAAUGUGUCUGUUGAGGAGUUCGCAUUGUGGCUCAGUGGAAAUGAAUCUGACCAGUAUCUAUGAGGAUGCAAGUUCGAUCCUUGGCCCUCACUCAUGGGUUAAGGCUCUGGCGUUGCCGUGAGCUGUGGUGUAGAUCCCAGAUGCGGCUUGGAUCUGGCGUGGAUGUGGCUGUGGUGUAGGCCCGCAGCUACAGCUCUGAUUCAACCCCCUAGCCUGGGAACCUCCAUAUGCCAUGAGUGUGGCCCUAAAAAAAAAAAAAAUUAAAAACCAGGCAGGGGGUGUGCCCUGGUGGCCUGGCAGGUUAAGGAUCCAGCAUUGUCACUGUUGUCACUGCUGUGGCUUGGUUGUUGCAGUGGGGCAGGUUGGGAGAGGGUUCCUGCCUGGGAAGGAGUUGCAGGGGUGGGGUUGGGGGGGUAAAAAAUCAGGCAGAAUAGUGCAAAGACCACAUGCAGUAGAUGCCCAGUAAGUGCAGUGUGACGAGGGACUGGUAACCCAGCCCGGGAGGGCUGUCAAAGGACGAUGUGUCCCGCGUUCCGGAAGCCGUAGCUGCCGGCCUGCACUACAGACACAGCAACACCAGAUCCGAGCCAUAUCUGCGACCUACACCACAGCUCACACGGCAAUGCAGGAUCUUUAACCCACUCAGGCAAGGGAUUGAACCCACGUCCUCAUGGAUACUGGUCCUGUCAUGCUUUGAUAGGAAUAAAAUGCUUUUCAGCGUGACACGACAUGACCACCCAGCAGGAUGGCGUGAGAUGGCACUGAGCUGUACUGACACGGGGAACUGCUUCCCUCUGCGGAACUUCUAGACAGACUGAUCCACCAGGGCAGGGAAGGGGGUGGCCCAGAAGGCUGCCUUUGGUUUCCAGGGAGCUCCAGCCUCCAGAGCGGAGGGGAGCGAGCCCAGGCUCAGGCCUCCUGUCGCUCAACUGCAGGACUCACUGCGGGAGGCGGGAGGCGUCUCAUUAAUCACCCUCUGGGCCUGUGCGUGGGCCUCCCACACAGCCUGAAGGAAUCCCAUCCACAGUCUUGGAUCCCUGAUCGGUUCAGUACCCUCUUGAGGUCCCAGGCGGAUGUUUG
Molecule: long non-coding RNA, 4841 nt
Filed under: Sus scrofa (pig)
Lineage: Eukaryota; Metazoa; Chordata; Mammalia; Artiodactyla; Suidae
Description: lncRNA (ENSSSCG00060063270.1)
Source: RNAcentral